RNAcentral lists this ribosomal RNA (742 nucleotides) under uncultured Planctomycetota bacterium. RNAcentral describes it as "bacterial SSU rRNA". It matches the Rfam family "Bacterial small subunit ribosomal RNA", at positions 578 to 1312 of the family's 1533-position model. Lineage: Bacteria; Pseudomonadati; Planctomycetota. The record is from RNAcentral.
GAUCGGCAGGCGUCUUGUGAAAGCCCCCGGCUCAACCGGGGAACAGCAGGGCGAACCGCCGGUCUCGAGGUUGGUAGGGGUCGCUGGAACGCUCGGUGGAGCGGUGAAAUGCGUAGAUAUCGAGCGGAACGCCGGAGGUGAAGACGGGCGACUGGGCCAAUCCUGACGCUGAGGCACGAAAGCGUGGGGAUCAAACAGGAUUAGAUACCCUGGUAGUCCACGCUGUAAACGAUGCGCACUUGAUCGGUGCGGGUUUGACCCCGUGUCGGUCGCAGAGAAAUCGCUAAGUGCGCCGCCUGGGAAGUACGGUCGCAAGGCUAAAAAUCAAAGGAAUUGACGGGGGCUCACACAAGCGGUGGAGCAUGUUGCUUAAUUCGAUGCAACGCGAAGAACCUUACCCGGGUUUGACAUGUACGGAUUAGUUCCUGGAAACAGGAAUGACGCCCGCAAGGGUGGAACGUACACAGGUGCUGCAUGGCUGUCGUCAGCUCGUGCUGUGAAGUGUCGGGUUAAGUCCUCUAACGAGCGCAACCCCUGUCGCUAGUUGCCAGCGCGUCAUGGCGGGGACUCUAGCGAGACUGCCGGUGUCAAACCGGAGGAAGGUGGGGAUGACGUCAAGUCCUCAUGGCCUUUAUAUCCGGGGAUGCAAACGUGCUACAAUGGCGCGCACAAAGCGACGCAAGGCCGCAAGGCGGAGCAAAUCGCAAAAAACGCGCCCCAGUUCGGAUUGCAGGCUGCAACU